This 1038-nucleotide long non-coding RNA is filed under the name Mus spicilegus (steppe mouse). RNAcentral's name for it is "lncRNA (ENSMSIG00000018196.1)". The record is from RNAcentral. Lineage: Eukaryota; Metazoa; Chordata; Mammalia; Rodentia; Muridae.
AUGGUGGCAGAGCCCAUAAACGACAUGGCAGCAGAGCCAUUAAAGAGCAUGGUGGCAGAGCCCAUAAACGACAUGGUUGCAGACCCCAUAUGCAGCAUGGUCACAGAAUGCGUAGACAGCAUGGUUGCAGAGCCCAUAAGCAGCAUGGUUGCAGAGCCUAUAAACAGCUUGGUGCCAGAGCCCAUAUGCAGCAUGGUCGAAGAGUGCAUAAACAGCAUGGUUGCAGAGCCUUUAAACAGCAUGAUGCCAGAGCCCAUAAACACCAUGGUUGCAGAGCCCAUAAGCAGCAUAUUUGUUGAACCCUUAAACAGCAUGGUUGCAGAGCCUAUAAGCAGCAUGGUGGCAGAGCCCAUAAGCAGCAUGGUGGCAGAGCCCAUAAGCAGCAUAGUUGCAGAGCCCAUAAACAGCAUGGUUGCAGAGCCUUUAAACAGCUUGGUGCCAGAGCCCAUAAGCAGUGUGGUUGCAGAAUGCAUAAAUAGCAUGGUGGCAGACCCCAUAAGCAGCUUGGUGCCAGAGCCCAUAAACAGCAAGUUUGCAGAGCCCAUAAGCAGCGUGAUUGCAGAGCCCAUAAACAACGUGGUUGCAGAACACAUAAACAGCAUGUUUACAGAGCACAUAAGCAGCAUGGUUGCAGAAUGCAUAAACAGCAUGGUCGCAGAACAUAUAAGUAACGUGAUUGCAGAGCGCAUAAGAAGCAUGGUCAUUGAGCACAUGAGCAACAUGAUUGUAGAUCAUAUGAGCAGCAUGGUUGCAGAGCCCAUAAGCAACAUCAUUGCAGAGCACAUAGGCAACAUUUUUACACAGCAUAUAAGCAGCAUGUUUACAGAGGACACAAGCAGCAUGUUUACAGAAUACAUGAGCAGCAUGGUUGCAGAGCACAGGAGAAGAAGCAUGAUUGCAGAACACAUGAGAAGAAGCAUGGUUGCAGAACACAUGAGCGGCAUGGUUGCAGAACACAUGAGAGGCAUGGUUGCAGAACACAUAAGCAGCAUGGUUGCAGAGCACAUAAGCAGCAUGGUUGCAGAGCCCAAGAAAUGA